GACGAACGCUGGCGGCGUGCUUAACACAUGCAAGUCGAACGGAAAGGCCCUGCUUUUGUGGGGUGCUCGAGUGGCGAACGGGUGAGUAACACGUGAGUAACCUGCCCUUGACUUUGGGAUAACUUCAGGAAACUGGGGCUAAUACCGGAUAGGAGCUCCUGCUGCAUGGUGGGGGUUGGAAAGUUUCGGCGGUUGGGGAUGGACUCGCGGCUUAUCAGCUUGUUGGUGGGGUAGGUGCUUACCAAGGCUUUGACGGGUAGCCGGCCUGAGAGGGUGACCGGGCACAUUGGGACUGCGAGACGGACCAGACUCCUACGGGAGGCAGCAGUGGGGAAUAUUGCACAAUGGGCGGAAGCCUGAUGCAGCAACGCCGCGUGCGGGAUGACGGCCUUCGGGUUGUAAACCGCUUUCGCCUGUGACGAAGCGUGAGUGACGGUAAUGGGUAAAGAAGCACCGGCUAACUACGUG
This 468-nucleotide ribosomal RNA is filed under the name uncultured bacterium. RNAcentral's name for it is "partial 16S ribosomal RNA". It matches the Rfam family "Bacterial small subunit ribosomal RNA", at positions 28 to 507 of the family's 1533-position model. The record is from RNAcentral.